UUCAAGAUUGAGAUCCAAAACCUCCCAAGACAUUUUGGAUUUGCGCAACUGAAGAAGAUGUUGACUGGUCUGCAACUGGAACCCAAGAAAGUCAAGGCAGUCAACAAGGCAACCUAUGCUUUUGUGACAUUCAGCUGCCAAGAAGAUAAGGAGGAGGCAUUGAAAGUACUCAACGGACACAAAUGGAAAGGACAAGUGCUGAAAGCCAAGCUUUCCAAGCCAGUUGAGGACCUGUAAUCGAAGAGCCUUAUUCUAAGAGAAGUCAAGAGGAAUCUGAUGGAAACACCCAAGAAGCUAAGAGGAGGAAGGAGGAGGACAGCUUACCAGUAGAAGAGAGGUUAAACAACACAGUGACUCCGCUAUGGAACCAGCCGUAUGAGGACCAGCUAUCCACCAAACAGACCAACACCAGGAAGUUUCUGAGGAAUUUAUCCAAGAUGCUGCAACGGAACAUUGGGGAGAUGUCUCCCUGGCUGAAGCAACAAAGGUGAGCUACUCACCAAAGACACGGGAUGGUUGUGGGCCAGAAUGGAAAUGUGAUCUUCCUUAACAA
This 553-nucleotide unclassified non-coding RNA is filed under the name Patiria miniata (bat star). Its description in RNAcentral is "tRNA (uracil-5-)-methyltransferase homolog A-like, transcript variant X3". The record is from RNAcentral. Lineage: Eukaryota; Metazoa; Echinodermata; Asteroidea; Valvatida; Asterinidae.